Molecule: ribosomal RNA, 501 nt
Filed under: uncultured bacterium
Lineage: Bacteria
Description: partial 16S ribosomal RNA
Rfam family: Bacterial small subunit ribosomal RNA
Source: RNAcentral
UGGGGAAUUUUGGACAAUGGGGGCAACCCUGAUCCAGCAAUGCCGCGUGUGUGAAGAAGGCCUUCGGGUUGUAAAGCACUUUUGUCCGGAAAGAAAUCGCCCUGGCUAAUAUCCGGGGUGGAUGACGGUACUGGAAGAAUAAGCACCGGCUAACUACGUGCCAGCAGCCGCGGUAAUACGUAGGGUGCGAGCGUUAAUCGGAAUUACUGGGCGUAAAGCGUGCGCAGGCGGUUGUGCAAGACAGAUGUGAAAUCCCCGGGGCUUAACCUGGGAAUGGCAUUUGUGACUGCACGGCUAGAGUGUGUCAGAGGGGGGUAGAAUUCCACGUGUAGCAGUGAAAUGCGUAGAUAUGUGGAGGAACACCGAUGGCGAAGGCAGCCCCCUGGGAUAACACUGACGCUCAUGCACGAAAGCGUGGGGAGCAAACAGGAUUAGAUACCCUGGUAGUCCACGCCCUAAAGNGAUGUCAACUAGUUGUCGGGUCUUAAUUGACUUGGUAAA